UUAGGUAGUUGGCGGGGUAACGGCCCACCAAGCCGACGAUCAGUAGCCGACCUGAGAGGGUGACCGGCCACAUUGGGACUGAGACACGGCCCAAACUCCUACGGGAGGCAGCAGUGGGGAAUAUUGCGCAAUGGGGGCAACCCUGACGCAGCAACGCCGCGUGAACGAUGAAGGUCUUCGGAUUGUAAAGUUCUUUUAUUAAGGACGAAGAAGUGACGGUACUUAAUGAAUAAGCUCCGGCUAACUACGUGCCAGCAGCCGCGGUAAUACGUAGGGAGCAAGCGUUGUCCGGAUUUACUGGCACUAAAGGGUGCGUAGGCGGCAGAGCAAGUCAGAUGUGAAAUCCACGGGCUUAACUCGUGAACUGCAUUUGAAACUACUUUUCUUGAGUAUCGGAGAGGCAAUCGGAAUUCCUAGUGUAGCGGUGAAAUGCGUAGAUAUUAGGAGGAACACCAGUGGCGAAGGCGGAUUGCUGGACGACAACUGACGGUGAGGCGCGAAAGCGUGGGGAGCAAACAGGAUUA
RNAcentral lists this ribosomal RNA (524 nucleotides) under uncultured bacterium. Its description in RNAcentral is "bacterial SSU rRNA". It matches the Rfam family "Bacterial small subunit ribosomal RNA", at positions 241 to 780 of the family's 1533-position model. The record is from RNAcentral.